GAGAGUUUGAUCCUGGCUCAGGACGAACGCUGGCGGCGUGCUUAACACAUGCAAGUCGAGCGAUGAAAUCCCUUCGGGGAUGGAUUAGCGGCGGACGGGUGAGUAACACGUGGGCAACCUGCCUCAAAGUGGGGGAUAGCCUUCCGAAAGGGAGAUUAAUACCGCAUAACAUUAGUUUUUCACAUGAAUUACUAAUUAAAGGAGUAAUCCGCUUUGAGAUGGGCCCGCGGCGCAUUAGCUAGUUGGUGAGGUAACGGCUCACCAAGGCCACGAUGCGUAGCCGACCUGAGAGGGUGAUCGGCCACAUUGGAACUGAGACACGGUCCAGACUCCUACGGGAGGCAGCAGUGGGGAAUAUUGCACAAUGGGCGAAAGCCUGAUGCAGCAACGCCGCGUGAGUGAUGAAGGCCUUCGGGUUGUAAAGCUCUGUCUUUGGGGACGAUAAUGACGGUACCCAAGGAGGAAGCCACGGCUAACUACGUGCCAGCAGCCGCGGUAAUACGUAGGUGGCGAGCGUUGUCCGGAUUUACUGGGCGUAAAGGAUGCGUAGGCGGAUGUUUAAGUCAGAUGUGAAAAUCCCGAGCUUAACUUGGGGAACUGCAUUUUGAAACUGGGAUAUCUAGAGUGCGGGGAGAAGGAGAAUGGAAUUCCCUAGUGUAGCGGGUGAAAUGCGUAGAGAUUAGGAAGAAACACCCGUGGCGAAGGCAAUUCUCCUGGGACCGUAACUGGACGCUUAAGGGAUGAAAACCGUGGGGGU
RNAcentral lists this ribosomal RNA (757 nucleotides) under Clostridium carboxidivorans. RNAcentral's name for it is "bacterial SSU rRNA". It matches the Rfam family "Bacterial small subunit ribosomal RNA", at positions 8 to 769 of the family's 1533-position model. The record is from RNAcentral. Lineage: Bacteria; Bacillati; Bacillota; Clostridia; Eubacteriales; Clostridiaceae.